RNAcentral lists this ribosomal RNA (797 nucleotides) under uncultured marine bacterium. RNAcentral describes it as "bacterial SSU rRNA". It matches the Rfam family "Bacterial small subunit ribosomal RNA", at positions 1 to 795 of the family's 1533-position model. The record is from RNAcentral.
UCGAUUGAGUUUGAUCCUGGCUCAGAACGAACGCUGGCGGCGUGGAUAAGACAUGCAAGUCGAACGAGUUUAUUCGGGUAGCAAUACUUGGAUAAGCUAGUGGCGAACGGGUGCGUAACACGUGGGAAUCAACCCGGAAGAGCGGGAUAGCUCGCCGAAAGGCGAAUUAAUACCGCAUGUGAUGGCAACAUCAAAGGGGGCGCAAGCUCUCGCUUCCGGACGAGCCCGCGGCCUAUCAGCUUGUUGGUGAGGUGAAGGCUUACCAAGGCGACGACGGGUAGCCGGUCUGAGAGGACGGUCGGCCACACUGGGACUGAGACACGGCCCAGACACCUACGGGUGGCAGCAGUCGAGAAUCUUUCGCAAUGGGGGAAACCCUGACGGAGCGACGCCGCGUGGAGGAUGAAGGCCCUCGGGUUGUAAACUCCUGUCACCGUAGAAAAACGCAGUACGGUUAAUACCCGGCACUGUUGAUGGUAUACGGAGAGGAAGGGACGGCUAAAUCUGUGCCAGCAGCCGCGGUAAUACAGAUGUCCCGAGCGUUGUUCGGAUUCACUGGGCGUAAAGGGUGUGUAGGAGGCAUGGUAAGUCAGCUGUGAAAUCUCCGAGCUCAACUCGGAAAUGGCAGCCGAUACUGCCAAGCUAGAGGAUCGGAAGGGCAAGCGGAAUUCUCGGUGUAGCAGUGAAAUGCGUAGAUAUCGAGAGGAACACCGGUGGCGAAGGCGGCUUGCUGGACGAUACCUGACUCUGAAACACGAAAGCUAGGGGAGCGAACGGGAUUAGAUACCCUGGUAGCC